CCUACGGGGGGCAGCAGUGAGGAAUAUUGCACAAUGGUGGGAACCCUGAUGCAGCGACGCCGCGUGAGUGAAGAAGUUAUUCGUUAUGUAAAGCUCUAUCAGCAGGGAAGAAAAUGACGGUACCUGAGUAAGAAGCACCGGCUAACUACGUGCCAGAAGCCGCGGUAAUACGUAGGGGGCAAGCGUUAUCCGGAUUUACUGGGUGUAAAGGGGGCGUAGAGGGCAGUGCAAGUCUGGAGGGAAAGGGGGGGGCCCAACCCCCGGACUGCGCUGGAAACUGUACGGCUGGAGUGCAGGAGAGGUAAGUGGAAUUCCUAGUGUAGCGGUGAAAUGCGUAGAUAUUAGGAGGAACACCAGUGGCGAAGGCGGCUUACUGGAUUGUAACUGACGCUGAGGCUCGAAAGCGUGGGGAGCAAACAGGAUUAGAUACCCCUGUAGUC
RNAcentral lists this ribosomal RNA (440 nucleotides) under uncultured bacterium. RNAcentral's name for it is "partial 16S ribosomal RNA". It matches the Rfam family "Bacterial small subunit ribosomal RNA", at positions 338 to 795 of the family's 1533-position model. The record is from RNAcentral.